AUACGUAGGUGGCAAGCGUUGUCCGGAUUUACUGGGCGUAAAGGAUGCGUAGGUGGAUAUUUAGGUGGGAUGUGAAAUACCCGGGCUCAACUUGGGCGCUGCAUUCCAAACUGGAUAUCUAGAGUGCAGGAGAGGUAAGUGGAAUUCCUAGUGUAGCGGUGAAAUGCGUAGAGAUUAGGAAGAACACCAGUGGCGAAGGCGACUUACUGGACUGUAACUGACACUGAGGCAUGAAAGCGUGGGGAGCAAACAGGAUUAGAUCCCCUGGUAGUCCACGCCGUAAACGAUGGGUACUAGGUGUAGGAGGGUCCAACCUUCUGUGCCGCCGUUAACACAAUAAGUACCCCGCCUGGGGAGUACGGUCGCAAGAUUAA
RNAcentral lists this ribosomal RNA (374 nucleotides) under uncultured bacterium. Its description in RNAcentral is "bacterial SSU rRNA". It matches the Rfam family "Bacterial small subunit ribosomal RNA", at positions 523 to 897 of the family's 1533-position model. The record is from RNAcentral.